This 253-nucleotide ribosomal RNA is filed under the name uncultured bacterium. Its description in RNAcentral is "partial 16S ribosomal RNA". It matches the Rfam family "Bacterial small subunit ribosomal RNA", at positions 524 to 776 of the family's 1533-position model. The record is from RNAcentral.
UACGAAGGGGGCUAGCGUUGCUCGGAAUUACUGGGCGUAAAGCGCACGUAGGCGGCUUUCUAAGUCGGGGGUGAAAUCCUGGAGCUCAACUCCAGAACUGCCUUUGAUACUGGGAAGCUCGAGUCCGGAAGAGGUGAGUGGAACUCCGAGUGUAGAGGUGAAAUUCGUAGAUAUUCGGAAGAACACCAGUGGCGAAGGCGGCUCACUGGUCCGGUACUGACGCUGAGGUGCGAAAGCGUGGGGAGCAAACAGG